UAAUAGGGACUAGCAUGAACGGCUAAAUGAGGAUUACACUGUCUCUUGUAGUUAACCAAUGAAACMGAUCUUGUAGUCCAAAAGCUACAAUAAAAACACCAGACGAGAAGACCCUGUGGAGCUUCAAACCAAAACCAAAUUAAUGGCCCCUUGGUUUUUAGUUGGGGCAACUUCGGAGUAUAUAUCAACCUCCGACAAAUCAGUUAAGACAAACAAGUCUAGACAAUUUACUCGACCCAAUAGUUUAUUACAAACUACUUGACCAAUGAACCAAGUUACCCCAGGGAUAACAGCGCUAUCCCCUUUUAGAGUCCCUAUCGACAAGGGGGCUUACGACCUCGAUGUUGGAUCAGGACACCCCAAUAAUGCAGCCGUUAUUAAAGGUUCGUUUGU
This 393-nucleotide ribosomal RNA is filed under the name Mesalina guttulata. RNAcentral's name for it is "partial 16S ribosomal RNA". It matches the Rfam family "Bacterial large subunit ribosomal RNA", at positions 1978 to 2580 of the family's 2925-position model. The record is from RNAcentral. Lineage: Eukaryota; Metazoa; Chordata; Lepidosauria; Squamata; Lacertidae.